Ictidomys tridecemlineatus (thirteen-lined ground squirrel) is the source of this 67-nucleotide non-coding RNA. The record is from Rfam. NCBI's taxonomy places the organism in Eukaryota, Metazoa, Chordata, Mammalia, Rodentia, Sciuridae.
GGUUAUAGCUCAAUGGUAGAGCACUUUCCUAACAUGGGUGAGGCUCUGGGUUCAAUCCCCAGCACCA